UGGGGAAUAUUGGACAAUGGGCGCAAGCCUGAUCCAGCCAUGCCGCGUGGGUGAAGAAGGCCUUCGGGUUGUAAAGCCCUUUUGUUGGGAAAGAAAAGCAGUCGGUUAAUACCCGAUUGUUCUGACGGUACCCAAAGAAUAAGCACCGGCUAACUUCGUGCCAGCAGCCGCGGUAAUACGAAGGGUGCAAGCGUUACUCGGAAUUACUGGGCGUAAAGCGUGCGUAGGUGGUGGUUUAAGUCUGUUGUGAAAGCCCUGGGCUCAACCUGGGAAUUGCAGUGGAUACUGGGUCACUAGAGUGUGGUAGAGGGUAGCGGAAUUCCCGGUGUAGCAGUGAAAUGCGUAGAGAUCGGGAGGAACAUCCGUGGCGAAGGCGGCUACCUGGACCAACACUGACACUGAGGCACGAAAGCGUGGGGAGCAAACAGGAUUAGAUACCCUGGUAGUCCACGCCCUAAACGAUGCGAACUGGAUGUUGGGUGCAAUUUGGCACGCAGUAUCGAAGCUAACGCGUUAAGUUCGCCGCCUGGGGAGUACGGUCGCAAGACUG
RNAcentral lists this ribosomal RNA (550 nucleotides) under uncultured bacterium. RNAcentral's name for it is "bacterial SSU rRNA". It matches the Rfam family "Bacterial small subunit ribosomal RNA", at positions 355 to 896 of the family's 1533-position model. The record is from RNAcentral.